UACGGAGGGUGCAAGCAUUGAUCGGAAUUACUGGGCGUAAAGGGCGCGUAGGCGGUCUGAAAAGUCGGAUGUGAAAUUCCGGGGCUCAACCCCGGAGCUGCAUUUGAAACUCUCAGACUUGAGGUUGGUAAGGGAAAACGGAAUUCCACGUGUAGCGGUGAAAUGCGUAGAUAUGUGGAAGAACACCGGUGGUGAAGACGGUUUUCUGUGCUAAACCUGACGCUGAGGCGCGAAAGCUAGGGGAGCAAACAGG
Molecule: ribosomal RNA, 253 nt
Filed under: uncultured bacterium
Lineage: Bacteria
Also listed under: 1 other name
Description: partial 16S ribosomal RNA
Rfam family: Bacterial small subunit ribosomal RNA
Source: RNAcentral